ACACCCAAUAUAUAAGGCUACGUCUUCCUUGGAAAAUCUACAGAUCUCCUUCUGCACAAUCUUGAAACCCUAAAUUCGAACCUUUUCCCCUGCAAAUUAUACCGACCAGAAAAGCAAUGCUCUUUCUUUGGGGCUGUGAUUGGACAGAGAGAGGCUCGAGUGGGGUUGGAUUGCUUCACCAAUCCAACCAUGAAAACCCUAAUUCCAUUUCAAAGGAAAACCGAUGAACAAUAAAGGAUAAAGAAUGAAUCUUUGAUCGCCGCCCCUUUUUCACACAAAAAGGAAUGAGUUGAGGAUUUAGGCAGCGGCCAGACAACCGUAGGGAUGGUAUCCACAGAUGAAGGGAUAAUUUAAUCCUUUUUUUGUCUACUGAUUCCAUCUCACAUUACUUUUAUCAUAAUCUUUUUUAUUUUUUUCCUUUUCGCGUCGUAUUGGUUUACUUGUGCUUGAAUUUGAUGUUUCAAUAAUGUGCUUGGAUGGGUUAAUUCUGGAUUUGUUGUGUUCAACUGGUGAAAUUUCUUACCCUUGUAUUAAGGUUUUAAAUUGUGUCUGAUGCAAAACGUGGAAUCAUUUUAGUUUAAUUCAGGAUUCUUCUUAUAGAAUGCAUGUUGUUUUGAAAUUCUCACGAGACUAGAAAAAUGAAAAGGAUUAAUAUCACUAUUAGUCCCUGGAUUGCAAGUGUUGUGUCACUUUCGCCCCUGAAGUUUUAACUUUUAGAUAUUACCCCUAUCCCGAUGAGGUAACACUCCCAAAAUUGAUAGGAAGUGCCGUAUGACACUUUAAAACCAGCGGCGGAGCACACCAUCGCGGGAUAGCCAAACUCUUCCCCAUCCAACGGUCUUGAACCGCCGGCCGAUAUCGUCUCCUUUGUGGGGAUGACAUCGUUGCUGCCGCUUCCCGAUCGGUCGGGAUUCCAUUUGACUUUUUCGGUGUGUUUCCACUGUGUGGGUGAUUUGAAACGGGUCUCUGAGGGUU
Molecule: long non-coding RNA, 975 nt
Organism: Morus notabilis
Lineage: Eukaryota; Viridiplantae; Streptophyta; Magnoliopsida; Rosales; Moraceae
Exons: 2
Source: RefSeq, a predicted model, not a curated record